Molecule: ribosomal RNA, 236 nt
Filed under: uncultured bacterium
Lineage: Bacteria
Description: partial 16S ribosomal RNA
Rfam family: Bacterial small subunit ribosomal RNA
Source: RNAcentral
CGCACGGGUGAGUAACGCGUAUGCAACUUACCUAUCAGGAGGGGAUAACCCGGCGAAAGUCGGACUAAUACCGCAUGAAGCAGGGGCCCCGCAUGGGGAUAUUUGCUAAAGAUUCAUCGCUGAUAGAUAGGCAUGCGUUCCAUUAGGCAGUUGGCGGGGUAACGGCCCACCAAGCCGACGAUGGAUAGGGGUUCUGAGAGGAAGGUCCCCCACAUUGGUACUGAGACACGGACCAA